UGGGGAAUUUUGGACAAUGGGGGAAACCCUGAUCCAGCCAUCCCGCGUGUGCGAUGAAGGCCCUCGGGUUGUAAAGCACUUUUGGCAGGAAAGAAACGUCAUGGGUUAAUACCCCGUGAAACUGACGGUACCUGCAGAAUAAGCACCGGCUAACUACGUGCCAGCAGCCGCGGUAAGACGUAGGGUGCAAGCGUUAAUCGGAAUUACUGGGCGUAAAGCGUGCGCAGGCGGUUCGGAAAGAAAGAUGUGAAAUCCCAGAGCUCAACUUUGGAACUGCAUUUUUAACUACCGGGCUAGAGUGUGUCAGAGGGAGGUGGAAUUCCGCGUGUAGCAGUGAAAUGCGUAGAUAUGCGGAGGAACACCGAUGGCGAAGGCAGCCUCCUGGGAUAACACUGACGCUCAUGCACGAAAGCGUGGGGAGCAAACAGG
RNAcentral lists this ribosomal RNA (429 nucleotides) under Acidobacteriota bacterium. Its description in RNAcentral is "Acidobacteria bacterium partial 16S ribosomal RNA". It matches the Rfam family "Bacterial small subunit ribosomal RNA", at positions 355 to 776 of the family's 1533-position model. Lineage: Bacteria; Pseudomonadati; Acidobacteriota. The record is from RNAcentral.